CUGCUACCUUUUAGUGUUGCCACAACACAUACAACGUGUGUUGGCUUCACAAGGAAUCAGAGGCCCUACUUACAAAUUCAUCCAUGGAAACACCAAAGAAAUGCUCAGGAUGAGAACCGAAUCCAUGAGCAGACCCAUGGAUUUAUCCCAUCAAAUACUUGCUAGACUCCAGCCUCAUCUCUCAUCUCUCCUCUCUCCUCUCUCCUCUCUCCUCUCUCUCUUUCUGAAUAUAUAUAUUUUUUUACUUCUAUGAUAUAAAAUCUUUGAUCUACCAAAAUCUGUUAGGUUUUAGACCAUAGUUCUUAAGAUCAAAGUGAAGAGCUUGGCGAGAGCAAUGUUUUGAUCGGUGGAGAUCAAAAUUCGGCAAAGUUGAAAAUUUGGGGUUUUUGCUUGUUUCCUCUUGUAGCUUGAGGGUCAAGUGCAAGGACAAAUCCAUCGGCAGAACACUGUGAGCAAAGAGAUGUCCGAACCCAGCCUCAAUGAAGAAAGUGAGAGGAAGUCAUGUUUUGUGGAGUCAACCCGAAUGUCUCACGCACGAGACUUUGUUUUUGUUCUUUUGCUUACCUUUUUUGCUAUCUUGGUAAAUAUGAUGGAUUACCCAUGUAUGUAAGCUUUUUGUUUGGCUGAUUGCAUGUCUGAAAGUUCUUAGAUGUAUAAGAUAUUACCUCUGAUUAUAUAUGUGAGUUAUUAUGGACUACUUACGAAAUGUUUUGCUUUAUCAUGUAAGCACAGCUCAUUGGACAAAAAUUUCAAGUCUGCUUCCGUUUUGACCCCUUAUUUCUAUUUUUGUAUGCUUGAUCAGGUUUGAGGCCGUAAGUAAUCUCCUGAUUACUAGUUGGUUAUGACUUUAAUCCAUAGGGGCGGGUUCGGGUCAUGACAGUACUAAG
Molecule: non-coding RNA, 887 nt
Organism: Camellia sinensis
Lineage: Eukaryota; Viridiplantae; Streptophyta; Magnoliopsida; Ericales; Theaceae
Source: RefSeq, a predicted model, not a curated record